Molecule: ribosomal RNA, 245 nt
Filed under: uncultured bacterium
Lineage: Bacteria
Description: partial 16S ribosomal RNA
Rfam family: Bacterial small subunit ribosomal RNA
Source: RNAcentral
UACGAAGGGGGCUAGCGUUGCUCGGAAUGACUGGGCGUAAAGGGCGCGUAGGCGGUUCUGUUAGUCAGGCGUGAAAUUCCUGGGCUCAACCUGGGGACUGCGCUUGAUACGGCGGGACUUGAGGACGGAAGAGGCUCGUGGAAUUCCCAGUGUAGAGGUGAAAUUCGUAGAUAUUGGGAAGAACACCGGUGGCGAAGGCGGCGAGCUGGUCCGUUACUGACGCUGAGGCGCGACAGCGUGGGGAG